UGACUUGAUACUUUAAAGUAAAAGAUCUGAUUUGCAUUCAGACAAUAAGUUUUUUAAACUUUCGGGUCAA
RNAcentral lists this transfer RNA (70 nucleotides) under Tritia sp. e LAG-2017. RNAcentral describes it as "tRNA-Ala". Lineage: Eukaryota; Metazoa; Mollusca; Gastropoda; Neogastropoda; Nassariidae. The record is from RNAcentral.